UACGGGGGGGGCAAGCGUUGUUCGGAAUUACUGGGCGUAAAGGGCUCGUAGGUGGCCGGCUAAGUCGGACGUGAAAUCCCUCAGCUUAACUGGGGAACUGCGUCCGAUACUGGAUGGCUUGAGUUUGGGAGAGGGAUGCGGAAUUCCAGGUGUAGCGGUGAAAUGCGUAGAUAUCUGGAGGAACACCGGUGGCGAAGGCGGCAUCCUGGACCAACACUGACACUGAGGAGCGAAAGCCAGGGGAGCAAACGGG
RNAcentral lists this ribosomal RNA (253 nucleotides) under uncultured bacterium. RNAcentral describes it as "partial 16S ribosomal RNA". It matches the Rfam family "Bacterial small subunit ribosomal RNA", at positions 524 to 776 of the family's 1533-position model. The record is from RNAcentral.